GACGAACGCUGGCGGCGCGCUUAACACAUGCAAGUCGUACGGUAAGGCCCUUUCGGGGGUCCACGAGUGGCGAACGGGUGAGUAACACGUGAGUAACCUGCCCACAACUUUGGGAUAACGCUAGGAAACUGGUGCUAAUACUGGAUAUGUGCUCCUGCUGCAUGGUGGGGGUUGGAAAGCUCCGGCGGUUGUGGAUGGACUCGCGGCCUAUCAGCUUGUUGGUGGGGUAGUGGCCUACCAAGGCGGCGACGGGUAGCCGGCCUGAGAGGGUGACCGGCCACAUUGGGACUGAGAUACGGCCCAGACUCCUACGGGAGGCAGCAGUGGGGAAUAUUGCACAAUGGGCGCAAGCCUGAUGCAGCAACGCCGCGUGCGGGAUGACGGCCUUCGGGUUGUAAACCGCUUUCAGCAGGGACGAAGCUUUUUGUGACGGUACCUGCAGAAGAAGCACCGGCUAACUACGUG
Molecule: ribosomal RNA, 465 nt
Filed under: uncultured bacterium
Lineage: Bacteria
Description: partial 16S ribosomal RNA
Rfam family: Bacterial small subunit ribosomal RNA
Source: RNAcentral